GCCUGGAUAGCUCUGUUGGUUAGAGUGUGGUGCUGAUAAUGCCAAGGUUGCAGGUUCGAUCCCUGUAUGGGGCA
Podarcis lilfordi (Lilford's wall lizard) is the source of this 74-nucleotide non-coding RNA. The record is from the annotation of a GenBank genome assembly. NCBI's taxonomy places the organism in Eukaryota, Metazoa, Chordata, Lepidosauria, Squamata, Lacertidae.